RNAcentral lists this ribosomal RNA (376 nucleotides) under uncultured bacterium. RNAcentral describes it as "bacterial SSU rRNA". It matches the Rfam family "Bacterial small subunit ribosomal RNA", at positions 523 to 898 of the family's 1533-position model. The record is from RNAcentral.
AUACGUAGGGAGCGAGCGUUGUCCGGAUUUACUGGGUGUAAAGGGUGCGUAGGCGGCAAUGCAAGUCAGAUGUGAAAACUAUGGGCUUAACUCAUAGAUUGCAUUUGAAACUGUGUUGCUUGAGUGAAGUAGAGGCAGGCGGAAUUCCCGGUGUAGCGGUGAAAUGCGUAGAGAUCGGGAGGAACACCAGUGGCGAAGGCGGCCUGCUGGGCUUUAACUGACGCUGAGGCACGAAAGCAUGGGUAGCAAACAGGAUUAGAUACCCUGGUAGUCCAUGCCGUAAACGAUGAUUACUAGGUGUGGGGGGUCUGACCCCUUCCGUGCCGGAGUUAACACAAUAAGUAAUCCACCUGGGGAGUACGACCGCAAGGUUGAA